AUGACCCCAAGUCAGGCGGGAUUACCUUCUGAUUUUAAGUAUAUCAAUAAGCGGAGGAGAAUAAACUUAUAAUGAUUUCCCUAAUAAUGACGAGCGAACUAGGAACAACCCAACCUUAGAAUCAGGCGGCUCCAUCGUUCGAAUUGUAGUCUUGAGAAGUGUCCUCUGAGCUGGACCGGGCCCAAGUCACCUGGAAAGGGGUACCAGAGAUGGUGAGAUCCCCAUGGAGCCUAGACCCUGUCACACCAUGAGGCACUGACUACGAGUCGGGUUGUUUGGGAAUUCAGGCUAAAUCGGGGGUGAAUUUCGUCUAAGGCUCAAUAAGAGCGAGACCCCGAUAACGAACAAGUUCCGCAAGGUAAAGAUGAAAAGGACUUAGAAUAAAAAAGUCAAAGAGUACUUGAAAUUAUUGUGAGGGAAGCGUAUGGAGGCUGGCGAUGUACCCCGGUUGGAUGUUGAACAAGGAUGAGCCACACAUCAAUCGAAUCGAGGCGUGGACCAGUGUGGAUUGCGGAAGCGGCCAAAGAGCUAUCUCUCAAUAUGCUGGUGGAAUGUCGUCUCCUUAAUUGUGGAAGACAGCAUGUUUCUCUGGAGUGCUAUAGCAUUUGUUCACUCUGGACGCUGGCCUGUUGGCUCCCAAUUCAACUCAUCUUGAAACACAGACCAAGGAGUCUGACAUGUGUGCGACUUAAUUGGCAAGUAAACCCAUAAGGCUCAAGGAAGCUGAUAGGUGGGAUUCCCUUGACGGGUGCACCAUUGACUAACUUUAAUAUUCUGAGAAGGGUUCGAGUGUGAGCAUACCUGUCGGGACCCAAAAGAUGUGAACUAUGCCUGAGCGGGGCGAAUCCCGAGAAAACUUUGGUGGAGGCCCGCAGCGAUACUCACAUGUAAACCAUUCGUCUAACUUAGAUAUAGGAAGCAAAGAUUAAUAAAACCUUCUAGUAGUUGGUUCCCUCCGAAGUUAACCUUAGGAUAGAUGGAGCUCGCAUGCGAGUUCUAUCGGGUAAAGCCAAUGAUUAGAGGCCUCGGGGGAGGAACACCCUCGAUGAAUUCUCAAACUUUAAAUAGGUAGGACUGCACGACUUCUUUGUUAAGACGCACCAUUGAAUCAAGACCUCCAUGUAAGAAUUUUUGGUAAGCAGAACUGGCGAUGCGGGAUGAACCAAAAGCCAAGUUAAGUUGCAAAACUAUGUGCUAACUUAGAUCCUACAAAGGGUGUUGGUCGAUUAAGACAACAGUACGGUGGUCAUGGAAUUCAAAAUCUGCUAAGAAUUAUGUAACAACUCGCCUGCUGAAUCAACUAGCCUUGAAAAUGGAUGGCGCUUAAGUUCCUUACCUACACCCAGCCAUCAGGGCAAGUGACAUGCCCCGAUAAAUAGGAGGGCAAGGCGGUCGCUGCAAAAACCUUGGGCGCUAGCCCGGCAGAGCGAUCGUCAGUGCAGAUCUUGGUGGUAGUAGCAAAUAUUCAAAUGAGAACUUUGAAGGCUGAAGAGGGAAAAGUUUCCAUGUGAACAGCGCUCUCACGUGGAUUUGUCGAUCCUAAGGGUCGGGGGAACCCCGACAGAUAGCGUGUUUCGCAUGUACUAUGAAAGAAAAUUGGGUUAAAAUUCCUGAACCAAGAUGUGGUGGUCGAUGACAACAUUAGUAAGGCUGGAGACGUCUAUGGGAGCCUCGGUAAAAGUUAUCUUUUCUAUUUAAAAGCCUGCCCACCCUGGAAUCGACUCAGUUGGAGGUAGGGUCCAAUGGAUGGAAGAGCACCGCAUGUCACGUGGUGUCUGAUAUUCUCCCGGAGGCCCUUGAAAAUCAAGAAGACCAAAUAUUAUCUACACCCGAUCGUACUCAUAACCGCAUCAGGUCUCCAAGGUGAAUAGCCACUGGUCGAUGAAACAAUGUAGGCAAGGGAAGUCAGCAAAAUGGAUCUGUAACUUUGGGAAAAGGAUUUGCUAUGAGGGCUGGGAAUUGGGGUCCCAGUCCCAAACCUGUCAGCUAUUGGUGGACAGCUCUAGCUGCUUCCGCGGUGAGAGUAGGUCGCCCCAUGCUGGCUAGGGGAUGAAUUGGGAACGGUUCCUUCGGUGGCUUUCCCCGUGCGUUGAACAACCAACUCAGAACUAGUACGGACAAGGAGAAUCUGACUGCUUAAUUAAAACAAAGCUUGCAUUGGUCCCAACGGAUGUUCACGCAAUAUGAUUUUUGCCCAAUGCUCUUAAUGUUAAAGUGAAGAAAUUCAACCAAGCGCGGGUAAAUGGUGGGAGUAACUAUGACUCUCUUAAGGUAGACAAAUGCUUCCUAAUAUAAUUAGUGACACGCAUGAAUAGAUUAAGGAGAUUCCCACCUUCCUGUCUACUAUCCAGCAAAAUCACAGCCAAAGGAAUGGGCUUGGUAGAAUUAGCGCAAAAGAAGACCCUGUUGAGCUUGACUCUAGUCUGACUUUGUGAAAUGACUUGAGAGGUGUAGUAUAAGUUGGAGCCAAAAGGUGAAAGUGAAAUACCACUACCUUUACUGUUAUUUUACUUAUUCUGAGAAUCAGAAACGGGGAACUGCCCCUCUUUUUAGACAUAAGGCUCACUCUGCGGGUUGUGCCAGACGGAAGAAAUUAUCAGGUGGGGAGUUUGGCUGGGGCGUCACAUUUAUUAAAAGAAAACCCAGGUGUCCAAAGAUGAGCUCUACAAGAACAUAAAUCUCAUGUUGAACCGAAGGGUAAAAGCUCAUUUGAUUCUGAUUUCCAGUAGGAAUACAAACCAUGAAAUCAUGGCCUAACUAUCCUUUAGACCAUCGAAAUUCAUAGCUAGAGAUGUUAGAAAAGUUACCACAGGGAUAACUGGCUUGUAGCAGCCAAGUGUUAAUAGUGACAUUGCUUUUUUAUCCUUCAAUGUCGGCUCUUCCUAUCAUUAUGAAGGAGAAUUCACCAAGUGUUGGAUUGUUCACCCGCCAAUAGGGAACAUGAGUUGGGUUUAGGCUGUCGUGAGAGAGGUUCGUUUUACCCUUCUAAUGACAGUGUUGCAAUAGUAAUUCAACCAAGUACGAGAGGAACUAUUGAUUCACAUAAUUUGUCAUCGCGCUUGGUUGAAAAUCUAGUGGUGCGAAGCUACCGUGUGCUGGAUUAUGAAUGGAUGCUUCUAAGUCAGAAUCUGGGCUAGAAGCGAUGCAUGCACACACCGUCCGUAUUCCGACCCGUCGUAGGGUCCUCGACCCCCAAGGGCACAUGUCGUUGUCUAACCUAUCAUAGUGGAAGGUUCGUGGUGGCCGUCUUAAAGUACAAUUUGCAUCGAGCGAUAGCUAGAAUC
Molecule: ribosomal RNA, 3284 nt
Filed under: Capsicum annuum
Lineage: Eukaryota; Viridiplantae; Streptophyta; Magnoliopsida; Solanales; Solanaceae
Description: bacterial LSU rRNA
Rfam family: Eukaryotic large subunit ribosomal RNA
Source: RNAcentral